RNAcentral lists this ribosomal RNA (303 nucleotides) under Triticum aestivum (bread wheat). RNAcentral's name for it is "partial small subunit ribosomal RNA". Lineage: Eukaryota; Viridiplantae; Streptophyta; Magnoliopsida; Poales; Poaceae. The record is from RNAcentral.
AUGGAGCAUACAAGAAACGGAUCUGAAGGAGUGCUUCAAUUGCCGGAUAGGGAGCAGGAGGGGAAGCAGCCGCUCAUCUGGGUCGCCGGCCGGGGACCUGGACGCGCACCGCUGUUUGUAAUCUCCGGCGCAGGCGGAGCCUUUGGAGCAUCCAGGGUCCAUCUGAAGGAGGCAGAUAGCAAAAUCUUUUCUGCAGUACUGUUGACGCGGCCGGGCUCCGUCGCCAUGGGAACGCCGCCUGGGCCCUCCUCCAUAGAACCUGUGGCAUCAGAUCAGACUACUAUGUUAGUUGGGAGAACAUGA